GCGUUUUACAGCAGUGGGGAAUAUUGCACAAUGGGGGAUACCCUGUAUGCAGCGACGCCGCGUGAGCGAAGAAGUAUUUCGGUAUGUAUAGCUCUAUCAGCAGGGAAGAAAUUGACGGUACCUGACUAAGAAGCACCGGCUAUAUACGUGCCAGCAGCCGCGGAC
This 165-nucleotide ribosomal RNA is filed under the name uncultured bacterium. RNAcentral's name for it is "partial 16S ribosomal RNA". It matches the Rfam family "Bacterial small subunit ribosomal RNA", at positions 341 to 522 of the family's 1533-position model. The record is from RNAcentral.